RNAcentral lists this non-coding RNA (24 nucleotides) under Arabidopsis thaliana (thale cress). Lineage: Eukaryota; Viridiplantae; Streptophyta; Magnoliopsida; Brassicales; Brassicaceae. The record is from RNAcentral.
AAGAAGUUCAGUUGGUGUUAAUUA